Molecule: transfer RNA, 82 nt
Filed under: Rickettsiales bacterium
Lineage: Bacteria; Pseudomonadati; Pseudomonadota; Alphaproteobacteria; Rickettsiales
Description: tRNA-Leu
Rfam family: tRNA
About the family: Transfer RNA (tRNA) molecules are approximately 80 nucleotides in length. Their secondary structure includes four short double-helical elements and three loops (D, anti-codon, and T loops).
Source: RNAcentral
ACUUAUUUGGCGAAAUUGGUAUACGCGGCAGAUUUAAAAUCUGCUCUCUUAGGAGGUGUUGGUUCAAGUCCAAUAGUAAGUA